UGAAGAAAGGAAAAGCUUGAAGCUAAAAGGAUUGCCGGAUUUACUCAGGUAACGAGCAGUGAUUGAGUAGAAGCUAGUGCUUGGAGUCUAGUGUAGUUCCUUAGUGGGUCAUGCUCUGGUAGAUGUAACAUCGGGACGGGAUGUUUUACCUUGUUUUAUUUGAUUGUGGUUGAACAGUUUACAUGUAAUGUGUUACAUGUUUUGCAUGUUGAUUAGAUUUCUAUCCGCUGCGAAUUAUGCAAAGGUUUAUUUUGAUGAAUAAAUGAGCAUGACGAGUUAAUUUGGAA
Molecule: long non-coding RNA, 287 nt
Organism: Lathyrus oleraceus (garden pea)
Lineage: Eukaryota; Viridiplantae; Streptophyta; Magnoliopsida; Fabales; Fabaceae
Exons: 2
Source: RefSeq, a predicted model, not a curated record